RNAcentral lists this non-coding RNA (30 nucleotides) under Cricetulus griseus (Chinese hamster). Lineage: Eukaryota; Metazoa; Chordata; Mammalia; Rodentia; Cricetidae. The record is from RNAcentral. RNAcentral also lists the same sequence under 1 other name.
GUUUCUCUUCAGAUCGUAUAAAUCUUUCGC